UACGGAGGGUGCGAGCGUUGUCCGGAAUCACUGGGCGUAAAGGGCGCGUAGGCGGCGCAUCAAGGGUGCGGUGAAAGCCCGGGGCUUAACCCCGGGUCGGCCGUGCCGACUGAUGUGCUUGAGCACUGUAGAGGCAGGUAGAAUUCCGGGUGUAGCGGUGGAAUGCGUAGAGAUCCGGAAGAAUACCGGUGGCGAAGGCGGCCUGCUGGGCAGUGGCUGACGCUGAGGCGCGACAGCGUGGGGAGCAAACAGG
Molecule: ribosomal RNA, 253 nt
Filed under: uncultured bacterium
Lineage: Bacteria
Description: partial 16S ribosomal RNA
Rfam family: Bacterial small subunit ribosomal RNA
Source: RNAcentral